AGCAGCCGCGGUAAUUCCAGCUCCAAUAGCGUAUAUUAAAGUUGUUGCAGUUAAAAAGCUCGUAGUUGAAUUUCGGGAUCGGCAUGUUGGUCGUGCCUUACGGGGUAUGAACUGGCAUCGCCGGUUUCUCACCUUCUGGAGAAUCGUGAUGCUCUUAAUUGGGUGUUACGUGGAUCCAGGACCUUUACCUUGAAAAAAUUAGAGUGUUUAAAGCAGGCAUAUUGCUCGAAUACAUUAGCAUGGAAUAAUAAAAUAGGACGGUUUGGUUCUAUUUUGUUGGUUUCUAGGAUCACCGUAAUGAUUAAUAGGGAUAGUUGGGGGCAUUAGUAUUCAAUUGUCAGAGGUGAAAUUCUUGGAUUUAUUGAAGACUAACUACUGCGAAAGCAUUUGCCAAGGAUGUUUUCAUUAAUCUAAGAACGAAAGUUAGGGGAUCGAAGACGAUCAGAUACCGUCGUAGUCUUAACCAUAAACUAUGCCGACUAGGAAUCAGACGAUGUUAAUUUUUUAAUGUAACUCGUUU
Molecule: ribosomal RNA, 520 nt
Filed under: uncultured Entrophospora
Lineage: Eukaryota; Fungi; Glomeromycota; Glomeromycetes; Entrophosporales; Entrophosporaceae
Description: SSU rRNA
Rfam family: Eukaryotic small subunit ribosomal RNA
Source: RNAcentral